ACAAGAGAUUUCGUUGAAGGAAAUAGAAUACAUACAUACUCUAAAUCUUGUGUCACAGUUGCACGUCAUGAAGAUUGAGAUUUUGCUCCAGAUCGACUUCACAGCAUCACACAGCUGGCGCAGAUUUGUCAGCUGUACAUCCACAUUUCCCCUUCUACCAAAUACCAAAGGUGUUCUACUGCUCUAAGUGAGAUCUGAGGACUCUGGAGUAUAACUGGAGUAUAUUGGAGUACAGCAUUUAUCCAGACCAUUCUUCAUAAACCUGAGAGUUGGGAGAGCACCCUGUCUGGCAUCAACAUCCGUCACAUUCAAAAUCACAUAAAUCAUAUUCUACCCCAUUGUGAUUCUUAGGCUGUCUUGGCCAUGUCCACCUGCCUAAAUGCUUUGAGUUGCUGACAUGGGAUUGGCCAACUGGUUAUUUGCUUUAACAAACAGUUGAACAGGCAUUACCAAAUAAAGUGGCUGUUGAAUGUA
This is a long non-coding RNA of Oreochromis niloticus (Nile tilapia), 474 nucleotides long. RefSeq lists it as uncharacterized. The transcript has 2 exons. The record is from RefSeq and is a predicted model, not a curated record. Lineage: Eukaryota; Metazoa; Chordata; Actinopteri; Cichliformes; Cichlidae.